GCGUGAGUGAUGAAGGCCUUCGGGUCGUAAAACUCUGUCCUCAAGGAAGAUAAUGACGGUACUUGAGGAGGAAGCCCCGGCUAACUACGUGCCAGCAGCCGCGGUAAUACGUAGGGGGCUAGCGUUAUCCGGAUUUACUGGGCGUAAAGGGUGCGUAGGCGGUCUUUCAAGUCAGGAGUGAAAGGCUACGGCUCAACCGUAGUAAGCUCUUGAAACUGGGAGACUUGAGUGCAGGAGAGGAGAGUGGAAUUCCUAGUGUAGCGGUGAAAUGCGUAGAUAUUAGGAGGAACACCAGUUGCGAAGGCGGCUCUCUGGACUGUAACUGACGCUGAGGCACGAAAGCGUGGGGAGCAAACAGGAUUAGAUACCCUGGUAGUCCACGCUGUAAACGAUGAGUAC
RNAcentral lists this ribosomal RNA (399 nucleotides) under Clostridioides difficile. RNAcentral describes it as "bacterial SSU rRNA". It matches the Rfam family "Bacterial small subunit ribosomal RNA", at positions 399 to 816 of the family's 1533-position model. The record is from RNAcentral. Lineage: Bacteria; Bacillati; Bacillota; Clostridia; Peptostreptococcales; Peptostreptococcaceae.